AUACGUAGGUGGCAAGCGUUGUCCGGAUUUACUGGGCGUAAAGGGUGUGUAGGUGGAUAUUUAAGUGAGAUGUGAAAUCCCCGAGCUUAACUUGGGGCCUGCAUUUCAAACUGGAUAUCUAGAGUGCAGGAGAGGAGAAUGGAACUCCUAGUGUAGCGGUGAAAUGCGUAGAGAUUAGGAAGAACACCAGUGGCGAAGGCGAUUCUCUGGACUGUAACUGACACUGAGGCACGAAAGCGUGGGUAGC
This 247-nucleotide ribosomal RNA is filed under the name uncultured bacterium. RNAcentral describes it as "partial 16S ribosomal RNA". It matches the Rfam family "Bacterial small subunit ribosomal RNA", at positions 523 to 769 of the family's 1533-position model. The record is from RNAcentral.